RNAcentral lists this long non-coding RNA (426 nucleotides) under Ananas comosus (pineapple). Its description in RNAcentral is "long non-coding RNA (ACOM_LNC000275)". The record is from RNAcentral. Lineage: Eukaryota; Viridiplantae; Streptophyta; Magnoliopsida; Poales; Bromeliaceae.
UAUAUUUCGUCAUUUUUUUAAAAAAAUAAACAUAGCUAAAAAGUAUAAAGGGGAACUUGGGCUUUACGUGUUGAGAAUUCGGAACUCGUCCCGGUACCGAAUUUUGAGAAUUCGUAAUCCGCUUCGAUACUGACUAUUGUGAAUUCGAUACUGAUUGAUGGGAUUCUGCAACGGAAGUGUCAAAUCAAAUUUUUACAAUAAAUUCGUCUCUUCAGCAGAAGCUGAUACAAUCAUAAAAGAGAAAAAAAAUCAAAACAGAAAAUAUGCGGGUAAAAUAAGAUUUAUUAAAUAAGAAAAAAUUACACCUAACUCCUUUUCUAUAUAGAGUAGCUACAAUCCGAGCCCUCUUUCUGAAUCUCUCCUACUGUUCUCUCGUCCUCUAUAAACCCACAAAGAGAACAACUCUUCACGUACACCCGUAUACUA